Molecule: long non-coding RNA, 233 nt
Filed under: Olea europaea (common olive)
Lineage: Eukaryota; Viridiplantae; Streptophyta; Magnoliopsida; Lamiales; Oleaceae
Description: long non-coding RNA (OEUR_LNC002098)
Source: RNAcentral
CUUAUAUUUUAUGAUAAAUUGUAGACUAUUUCAUAGAAGCUAUUUGAGCUUGAAGACAAAGAAGUGAAAGUACUCAUUGGAAUGCAAACAGAAAUUGAUAGGAGACCUAAAUUAUUGUACAAGUGACUGCUUAAUGGAGGGCAUCGACUGGCAGUAAGGUUUUAUAGUGAGAACACAGUAUUAAGUGCAUUCCAAGACUAGAAUUUGUUAUGCUAUUACGAAUAUAUGUACAC